GAUGAAGAACGUAGCGAAAUGCGAUAAGUAAUGUGAAUUGCAGAAUUCAGUGAAUCAUCGAAUCUUUGAACGCACAUUGCGCCCGCUGGUAUUCCGGCGGGCAUGCCUGUUCGAGCGUCAUUUCAACCCUCAAGCUCUCCGGAGUUUGGUGUUGGGGCGCCUGGGGCUUUUCGACCUCAGGGCCCUCAAGUCCAUCGGCGGGACCGCCAGGACACUGAGCGCAGUAGUAUUAUUUCGCUCGGUAGGUUCUUCCACGGCGGGUCGAUCUGGCCGCUAAACCCCCCAAUUCUCACCAAAGGUUGACCUCGGAUCAGGUAGGAAUACCCGCUGAACUUAAGCAUAUCAAUAAGCGGAGGA
This 357-nucleotide unclassified non-coding RNA is filed under the name soil metagenome. RNAcentral's name for it is "partial contains 5.8S ribosomal RNA, internal transcribed spacer 2, and large subunit ribosomal RNA". The stretch from base 1 to 120 matches the Rfam family "5.8S ribosomal RNA", at positions 35 to 154 of the family's 154-position model. The record is from RNAcentral.